UACGUAGGGUGCGAGCGUUGUUCGGAUUUACUGGGCGUAAAGGGCGCGUAGGCGGCUUUCCAAGUCACUUGUGAAAUCUCCGGGCUUAACUCGGAACGGUCAAGUGAUACUGUGAGGCUAGAGUGCGGAAGGGGCAACUGGAAUUCUCGGUGUAGCGGUGAAAUGCGUAGAUAUCGAGAGGAACACCUGCGGCGAAGGCGGGUUGCUGGGCCGACACUGACGCUGAUGCGCGAAAGCUAGGGGAGCGAACGGG
RNAcentral lists this ribosomal RNA (253 nucleotides) under uncultured bacterium. RNAcentral describes it as "partial 16S ribosomal RNA". It matches the Rfam family "Bacterial small subunit ribosomal RNA", at positions 524 to 776 of the family's 1533-position model. The record is from RNAcentral.